This 573-nucleotide small RNA is filed under the name Pan troglodytes (chimpanzee). RNAcentral's name for it is "processed transcript". Lineage: Eukaryota; Metazoa; Chordata; Mammalia; Primates; Hominidae. The record is from RNAcentral.
GCCGUCUUGCCAACCAUGACUGCUUUUGCGAGCGGCCUGGGAGGUGAAGGAGCAGAUGUGUUUGUUCAAAUUUUACUGAAGGACCCCAUCUUGAAGGACGACCCGACGGUGAUCACUCAGGACCUUCUGAGCUUCUCACUCAGGGAUGGGCACUAUGAUGCCCGGGCCAGAGUCCUUGUUUGCCACAUGACCUCCCUGCUCCAAGUGCCCUUGGAGGAGCUGGAUGUCCUUGAAGAGACGUUCCUGGAGAGCCUGAAGGAAAUCAAAGAGGAGGAAUCUGAACUAUUUCCAGGCCGCGUUUGUUGAAUCAAGAUGCCGCUGACUCAGCGCCACAUCGCUUGUCUAGUUGCACGUUCCCAUCGUAUAUCGUCAGUGACUUGAGUGUUUUCUUCGGUCUUGAACUCUGCCCAAAGUCAGUAAUCUUCAGCCUUCCACUUGGAACUGACUUAAGAGUUAUCAAUUAAGGGUCAAGGCAGUUCAGGGUCAAAGUAUAUCUCCAGCCUGUGUUAAGGAGGAAAUUAUUACAAUAAUAAUGAAAAGAGUGAUAAUAGCAAUAAACAUAUUGAAUAAUUA